ACUCAAAGGAAUAGACGGGGGCCCGCACAAGCGGUGGAGCAUGUGGCUCAAUUCGAUGCAACGCGAAGAACCUUACCUGGCCUUGACAUGUAGCGUGAAAGCCGAUGAAAGUCGGUGACGGUCCGAAAGGAUGCUGGGGCUACACAGGUGCUGCAUGGUUGUCGUCAGCUCGUGUCGUGAGAUGUUGGCUUAAGUGCCGCAACGAGCGCAACCCCUGUGAUUAGUUGCUAAUCAAUCGUAAGGUUGAUGCACUCUAAUCAGACUGCCUCUUUUCAAAAGAGGAGGAAGGUGGGGAUGACGUCAAAUCAGUAUGGCCCUUACGGCCAGGGCUGCACACGUGCUACAAUGCCCGGUACAAAGGGAAGCAGAACCGUGAGGUGGAGCAAAUCCCAUAAAACCGGGCCCAGUUCAGAUUGAAGGCUGCAACUCGCCUUCAUGAAGCCGGAAUCGCUAGUAAUGGCGCAUCAGCUACGGCGCCGUGAAUACGUUCCCGGGCCUUGUACACACCGCCCGU
Molecule: ribosomal RNA, 514 nt
Filed under: uncultured bacterium
Lineage: Bacteria
Description: partial 16S ribosomal RNA
Rfam family: Bacterial small subunit ribosomal RNA
Source: RNAcentral